AAUAUAUUAAAAGAUCAUGCGAUAAAUAAGAGUACUAAGUUAAAUUUGAAAAAAUAAAAAAAAAUAAAAAAAUGUACAUACCAAAGUAAAUUACUUCCUUUCCUUCCGGCUUCCAUACUUACUUACCUUAUUAGUUUUUCCAAAGCCUCUGUAUAGAAAAGAAUCAUUUAUUUGAUUAAAUCAAAUAUGAUACGCCCACCUUUCCUUUCCUUUUCUCAUAAUUCUUUCUAUUUGUUUUUUAAUAAUUACGAAAAGAAUUAACUAUAGAAAAGGUAUUAAAUGGUGACUCAAAAGAUGAAUAGGCCGGUCCUCAUAUAAAAACAAAAUACAAUCACGUGGUUAGUAAUACUAAAUACAUAUAUAUAUUAUAUUGUAGUUAGCCUGAAUUUCUUGCCCAUUUUGUGGUUUUGUGGUGAAAAAGAUGGAGCCUCCACCAGCACAAGCCAUAGACACUUCCACCAAGAAUUUUCAGCCUGGAGAAGAUGAACAGGAAAAAGCUCUUAAUGAAUGUUGUUCUUGUUUCUAUGACUGCACAGAGACAUGUUUUAACUACUUAUGCUGCUACAACUUCUGUUGAAAGACUAUGAAUGAAGAUUAUUAGUAUUACUAUUAUUAUUAUAUGCCUUUCAUGUUUGGAAAGGAGAGUCAAGAAUAUAAAAUAAUGUAAUUGUUAACUAGUAGUUUGUGUUUUUAUUUACUUUUAAUAAUUAAUAUUAUUAUGUCAUUUGUCUAACUUUGGUGAUCUUCAUUACUUUUUAUAUAGAUGGGCUUUUUAUUUUGGCAAAUAUGUAAUUUAAUUUUGGUGCCAAAGUAGAAGAAAUCAAGGUGAAUCUGGUGUUCUGUUGAAGAUGAUCUGUGAGUGUCAGAGUGAUGUGAUUAUAAAACCAAUUUCAAGUUAAUUAUUUGUUUUUAAA
Long non-coding RNA from Cannabis sativa, 914 nucleotides. RefSeq lists it as uncharacterized. The record is from RefSeq and is a predicted model, not a curated record. Lineage: Eukaryota; Viridiplantae; Streptophyta; Magnoliopsida; Rosales; Cannabaceae. The transcript is spliced from 2 exons.